Long non-coding RNA from Lagopus leucura (white-tailed ptarmigan), 1129 nucleotides. RefSeq lists it as uncharacterized. The record is from RefSeq and is a predicted model, not a curated record. The transcript has 7 exons. Lineage: Eukaryota; Metazoa; Chordata; Aves; Galliformes; Phasianidae.
ACGUAUGACUAUGGAUUUACAUGUCGAGUCUGUCUCUUAUGUGCAUCUACAAAGUCAUCGUCACCUCUGGAUGUGAUAUGACGGUAGAAGAUGGUGCGUGGUCAGGUCGGAUCAGAACUGUUGUAGCAACGGAGUCCUGAUUUCAUAGCCCUGACUGAAAGGAGGAACGAGAGAGAAGUCCCUUGCCAACUCAGCGAAUUUCAGCUUAGGCAGCUGCACGCUCAUUGCUAGAGCUCCCCAGGCAGUUUCAUCUCACCAUCAGGCUGUUGCCUUUGGUAAGCACCGAGCUGUCCUGUGGCCGUGCAGGUCCUGCUGGCUGAGGCUGUAUUUCAGCGAGACGGCUGCAGCGCUAUCUGCCCAGAAAUUUAGGACUCCUUGAAAGUUUUAAACAGGAAUGAAAAGAGAAUGAAAAGUAGAGCAAAUAUGAAGAAAACAGAUUAGAAGUAAAUAAGAGAAGCAGCCCUCCUUCGUCCUUCCAUUCUCCUUCCUGCUAGCCAUUCUCCCUCUCCAAAGGAAAGAGGAGUCAGCAGUAACAGCAAUAUACGCGCAUGAAAAAAUCUGUUGUAAAUUGUGACCUCUUGGUGGAUGGAUGUACAGACUGAGCUGUGAGAGAGGAGGUGUUCAGACAGCAGCGUUCCCAUGUGCUGCACACCGGACCAAUGCCUGCAGCUCUAAUCAUAAUACUUGGAAGUGAGAGCAAGAAGGAGAGGACUUGGCACUUAAGGAGUCUGGAGCUGUCCAAGAUCUUUACAAACACAACACAGUUAACCCUUGCAAGAGAGAGGAACACUACUCAUCUGCAUGGAAAGGAGCUUGUGCUGCAGGCAAAAGGCACUGGCACUCCAAAGAGCAGAGGGCCUGCUUGGUGUUUUGUCUGUGCCUUCCAUGACAGCAGCACGUUGUGCAGAGGAGACUUGAGAUGGGACAAGAAACACGUGGCGUGCCAGUUGGAACCUCUGUGAGCAGCAGCUGCUGGAGCACGACUGAGCCCCAGAAGAUGUGAACGGGAUCCCAGAGCACGCAGAGACAAUGGGGUGACACAGCCCUCGGGUGACAGCUAUGACAGCGGCGCUGCCCCAUCGCUGUGAUGCUGAGGUCCGGGCUGCAGGGUGAGGUCCCGGCCCGGGGG